UGAGAACAUCAAAACACCACCAAAAUUCAUAUCUUCCUGGCAUUGUUUUUUAAUAGCCACAGGGGUAAAUUUCUAAGUAAUGAAUGAGUUACCAGUGAUCCCAUCAGGAUGCUGUGUCAUGGAUUCAUAUACACAGAUACUACGAGGAUGACCACAACAUUAUACUCAUCCUACCUAGUUAACCUGAUGACUCCAGGUGACUCAUCAUGAACAGCAGACACCAGCUUGAACUUCCGGACCCUCCCAUGGUUUCUCAAACCUCUGUAGGAAUGAGUGAAUAAAAGCAAGUGUA
Molecule: non-coding RNA, 292 nt
Organism: Heterocephalus glaber (naked mole-rat)
Lineage: Eukaryota; Metazoa; Chordata; Mammalia; Rodentia; Bathyergidae
Source: RefSeq, a predicted model, not a curated record